CCCGCGUGUAUGAUGAAGGCCUUCGGGUUGUAAAGUACUUUUGGCAGAGAAGAAAAGGUAUCUCCUAAUACGAGAUACUGCUGACGGUAUCUGCAGAAUAAGCACCGGCUAACUACGUGCCAGCAGCCGCGGUAAUACGUAGGGUGCAAGCGUUAAUCGGAAUUACUGGGCGUAAAGCGUGUGUAGGCGGUUCGGAAAGAAAGAUGUGAAAUCCCAGGGCUCAACCUUGGAACUGCAUUUUUAACUGCCGAGCUAGAGUAUGUCAGAGGGGGGUAGAAUUCCACGUGUAGCAGUGAAAUGCGUAGAUAUGUGGAGGAAUACCGAUGGCGAAGGCAGCCCCCUGGGAUAAUACUGACGCUCAGACACGAAAGCGUGGGGAGCAAACAGGAUUAGAUACCCUGGUAGUCCACGCCCUAAACGAUGUCAACUAGCUGUUGGGGCCGUUAGGCCUUAGUAGCGCAGCUAACGCGUGAAGUUGACCGCCUGGGGAGUACGGUCGCAAGAUUAAAACUCAAAGGAAUUGACGGGGACCCGCACAAGCGGUGGAUGAUGUGGAUUAAUUCGAUGCAACGCGAAAAACCUUACCUACCCUUGACAUGUCUGGAAUCCCGAAGAGAUUUGGCAGUGCUCGCAAGAGAACCGGAACACAGGUGCUGCAUGGCUGUCGUCAGCUCGUGUCGUGAGAUGUUGGGUUAAGUCCCGCAACGAGCGCAACCCUUGUCAUUAGUUGCUACGCAAGAGCACUCUAAUGAGACUGCCGGUGACAAACCGGAGGAAGGUGGGGAUGACGUCAAGUCCUCAUGGCCCUUAUGGGUAGGGCUUCACACGUCAUACAAUGGUCGGGACAGAGGGUCGCCAACCCGCGAGGGGGAGCCAAUCUCAGAAACCCGAUCGUAGUCCGGAUCGCAGUCUGCAACUCGACUGCGUGAAGUCGGAAUCGCUAGUAAUCGCGGAUCAGAAUGUCGCGGUGAAUACGUUCCCGGGUCUUGUACACACCGCCCGUCACACCAUGGGAGUGGGUUUCUCCAGAAGUAGGUAGCCUAACCGUAAGGAGGGCGCUACC
This 1063-nucleotide ribosomal RNA is filed under the name Alcaligenes faecalis. Its description in RNAcentral is "bacterial SSU rRNA". It matches the Rfam family "Bacterial small subunit ribosomal RNA", at positions 396 to 1457 of the family's 1533-position model. The record is from RNAcentral. Lineage: Bacteria; Pseudomonadati; Pseudomonadota; Betaproteobacteria; Burkholderiales; Alcaligenaceae.